Molecule: ribosomal RNA, 429 nt
Filed under: Pseudomonadota bacterium
Lineage: Bacteria; Pseudomonadati; Pseudomonadota
Description: Proteobacteria bacterium partial 16S ribosomal RNA
Rfam family: Bacterial small subunit ribosomal RNA
Source: RNAcentral
UGGGGAAUAUUGGACAAUGGGCGAAAGCCUGAUCCAGCCAUGCCGCGUGUGUGAAGAAGGUCUUCGGAUUGUAAAGCACUUUAAGUUGGGAGGAAGGGCAGUAAGCGAAUACCUUGCUGUUUUGACGUUACCGACAGAAUAAGCACCGGCUUACUCUGUGCCAGCAGCCGCGGUAAUACAGAGGGUGCAAGCGUUAAUCGGAAUUACUGGGCGUAAAGCGCGCGUAGGUGGUUCGUUAAGUUGAAAGUGAAAGCCCCCGGCUCAACCUGGGAACUGCAUCCAAAACUGGCGGGCUAGAGUAGGGCAGAGGGUGGUGGAAUUUCCUGUGUAGCGGAGAAAUGCGUAGAUAUAGGAAGGAACACCAGUGGCGAAGGCGACCACCUGCGCUCAUACUGACACUGAGGUGCGAAAGCGUGGGGAGCAAACAGG